ACACCCCAAAGGAGAACACCUGGGCUGCCUCUGAGGUCUUCAGAAAGUCACCUGACCCGCAGAGCUACAGGGGCACCACCGUGAAGGAGGCUCGGAGUGCAAGGGGGGCCGAUGCCAGCUGGUCUCUCCAUCACCCAGGUAUGGUCCGCGGGCCAGAUCCCUCCUGCACGGCCCCAAGCAAAUGACACCGCCCACCCCCCCGGCCCCACGCACACAUUAGCGCAAAUGAAUCACACAGGAAGGCCUGUUCGUACUAUGAGCUUUUAAUUGGCUUCCUCCUACGUCUGAGGAAGAAACGGAGGCCCCACAAUGAGCUUUAACGGUUUUAGAGGGGCGUGUGCAGAACGAAGGGCUGCAGAGGGACUGGGGGGCAGCGGCAGAGCUGACAGGGGCUCCAGAAUCCUUCACGUGGUGGCAGGUGGCUGGACCUGCACCGGAAGUCCAGAAACGAAAUCUCCAGCAAGCUGCCGCAUCUCACACAAAGCCUCCCUCCAGGCCCGGCAGCUCCCGAGGCCACCACCAGGAAGCCAGUGGCAGAUGAAAGCACCCUGUCAAUGGGACCCUUUGACAUCUGGGGGGCCGCCCGUGGGUCUGCUGCUGGCGGGACCCCGGGAUCUGGACACUGCGUUCAGUCACUGUGAGUUCUCUGUGGUCCUAGCACCUGGCACCCAGUAAAUGUUCCGAAAAUGUCUGUUGCGUCGGCCUGAACCAAACUGAAUUAAUAAAUCAACAAGCAAUAACCAAUCAAUAAAGCCAAGGAGAUGAAA
Myotis davidii is the source of this 767-nucleotide long non-coding RNA. RefSeq lists it as uncharacterized. NCBI's taxonomy places the organism in Eukaryota, Metazoa, Chordata, Mammalia, Chiroptera, Vespertilionidae. The transcript is spliced from 2 exons. The record is from RefSeq and is a predicted model, not a curated record.